AUUGAACGCUAGCGGCAGGCCUAACACAUGCAAGUCGAGCGAGCGGCGGACGGGUGAGGAAUUUAUGGGGGCUGCCCGAUAGAGGGGGAUAACUACUGGAAACGGUAGCUAAUACCGCAUACUAUCGGAUGACCCAUAUGGGAUUAGCUAGUAGGUGAGGUAAUAGCUCACCUAGGCGACGAUCCCUGGCUGGUCUGAGAGGAUGAUCAGCCACACUGUGACUGAGACACGGCCCAGACUCCUACGGAGGCAGCAGUGGGGAAUAUUGCACAAUGGGCGCAAGCCUGAUGCAGCCAUGCCGCGUGUAUGAAGAAGGCCCUAGGGUUGUAAAGUACUUUCAGUCGGGAGGCGUUACCGACAGAAGAAGCACCGGCUAACUCCGUGCCAGCAGCCGCGGUAAUUC
This 403-nucleotide ribosomal RNA is filed under the name uncultured bacterium. RNAcentral's name for it is "partial 16S ribosomal RNA". It matches the Rfam family "Bacterial small subunit ribosomal RNA", at positions 30 to 526 of the family's 1533-position model. The record is from RNAcentral.